GUGUGAUGUUCCGCACCAUACCACCCGUUGUAAUUGUGCUUUUUUUCUUUUACCUCGGCGGUUUCUUUUCUAACUCACGGUUGUGGCCUCGUGUGAUUUGGGAGCUAGCCCACCAGUCCACUACCCAGCCGCACCGUUUUUUUUGUCCUGGGUUAGUCUGUCCGGCGGCGAGCGGUUCGAAGUCGAAUCCAGACGCGGCGGCGGCGGGUGUGCGUCCGGCGUCGAGCGGCUGAGUGGCGGCGAGCAGCGGCUGGACUCUGCCGACCGUGUCCUCGGCAGCGUUGUGGUUGGCCGGUUGAAUCGGCGUCAAUCUCGGUGCGGGGUCUUGCGGCAUCCUGGUCAGGCAGAGCGGGUGUCCUAGAUGCGACGGCAUCGGCUUCGUGGUUGGGCAGCGCGACGGGCCAUGUAUGUGGGCUGCAUCGGCAUCAUGGUGAGUGGCGUGCGGUGCUGCAGGUGGCAUCUGCAUCUUGACGAGCGGCGGGCGGCCUCAGCCUUACUGUGGGUCUUUUCAUGGCGACGGCGUGUAGCCUGGCAGCGCUGGGUGGCAUCGCCAUUGUGGUGAGCGGCAGUUCUUAUCGGCACUGCUACGGGCGGAGCUCUCUGGUGGUUUUUGAUGUCAGUGUACGUUGAACGUUCACGGCGUGGUGCUGGCGAAGACCUACGGAGGCUUCGUCUGGCAGUGAGCACCUGAGCUGUGACCAACGACGUUGGUGUGGUUUCAUCUCUUGCUCUCCUUAGAUCAGGUGAUACUGACACACUUCUGAUUGUUUCCUGCCCAUCUUGACAUUGCUCGCUAUAUAUGUGUUCCAAAUCUGAAUUGGUACUUCUUUCUCUUAUUUCAUAUGAUUGCAUGUGCACCAAAACAUGUGUAGAUAUAAGGAUAUAAUUGCUUUAUUACGCAAUGUACUGACGAAAAUUCAUCAAAUAAUUUGGCAUGACAUUUUUUGAGCUAACAAAUGCAACUCGUGAUACACUACCAAUGUCCUGAAUAUUUGUUGCUUGGGAAGAAAGAGGCAGGGCAACACCUUGCACGGCUGCAGCACCAACAGUGUAUGGGAGGCCAAAACAAACAGGUUCAAGGCAAACUUCUAAACAUCAGCCAAGAGGAACAUGUCCAACAGUAUAGGAGAGACAAUAAGGUGCUACUAUCAGAAUUAGGAGAACAAGAGCUGAAGCCUAAAGGGAAUCACCUCUUCAUGGUCAUUCUGGCGGAACAUUUGUACUUCAGCUAGCCAUCGGCAUGCUGGGGAAAUCAUGUCAUUGAUCCGGAUAUUCCUUUCUCGGUCGUUGAUCCAGAUAGUCCCUUCUCGAAUAUGUUUUCCACGUUGUUGCCUUGUUGGGCAUGGAAGAAACAGGGUAUACUUAUCAUUGUAUUGAACCACUGACUGCUCCACAUCUUCCCCUCCAUUGAAUAUCAAAUUAAUUCCAUUUUGUGCA
Molecule: non-coding RNA, 1437 nt
Organism: Lolium perenne
Lineage: Eukaryota; Viridiplantae; Streptophyta; Magnoliopsida; Poales; Poaceae
Source: RefSeq, a predicted model, not a curated record